Long non-coding RNA from Sander lucioperca (pikeperch), 584 nucleotides. RefSeq lists it as uncharacterized. The transcript has 2 exons. The record is from RefSeq and is a predicted model, not a curated record. NCBI's taxonomy places the organism in Eukaryota, Metazoa, Chordata, Actinopteri, Perciformes, Percidae.
UCAGAUGCACUAUUGGUUUAACAAACUUUAAAGCUGCAUGAAAAUGUCACCUUUUAGUCAGUAAAAGUAGGGAAUUCCUAAAUACUCAUUUUGAAAGUUGUUACUAAAUCUCACCUUUGUGGCAGUUGUCCAAGAUUGUUUUCGAGCGUGAAAUAAACCUCAUGUUUCACUUUUACAAGAGAAAAGACUUCAAGGAUGAAGACAAACUAGUUGGUUUGGCAAAUAAACGUCUGGUUAACUUCACCAGAUCCAUUGAAGAGCAGUGUACAGCUACUUCCCUGAGCUUUUCUAUGGGACUGUUUCCUACUGCAGUGAUGAGACGGUCCUCAAUGGGACUAGGUUGGACAUUACUUUGUCUUGGGGUAGUUAGUGAAUGUACGGUAACAAGCUCAUCAUUAGGAUCCUAUCAUAACAUGUUCCUUAUUCUGUCAUAAGAUAAUGAUCAAAAGUCACUUUGACUCAGUGUGAUAAUUAGACAGUCCCAAACAGGGCUAUGUCCAACUUUAAUGUCUUGUGUUUGUUAGUAAAGAGUAGAAAAGAGUAAGUAAAGAACUUUAAGACUUUAUAUCCAUCCCUAACUGUAU